UGUAUACAACUUUUCUACCAGCAAUUUUGCUCCUAUUUUUAAUGGUAGCAAUGUUUCUAAAAAGAAAUCAAACUAUGGAGGUUUUUUAUUAUUUUUUGAAAACAUUAGCGAACUAGUCAACUAGCGAAAACCUAGCGGAGUCACUGGCUCACUCUGACUGUUAUAAUCGGAAACAACCCUCAAAAUUUAAAAUCAACUACGGACAUUAGACAAU
Non-coding RNA from Cinara cedri, 214 nucleotides. NCBI's taxonomy places the organism in Eukaryota, Metazoa, Arthropoda, Insecta, Hemiptera, Aphididae. The record is from the annotation of a GenBank genome assembly.